RNAcentral lists this ribosomal RNA (253 nucleotides) under uncultured bacterium. RNAcentral describes it as "partial 16S ribosomal RNA". It matches the Rfam family "Bacterial small subunit ribosomal RNA", at positions 524 to 776 of the family's 1533-position model. The record is from RNAcentral.
UACGUAGGGUGCGAGCGUUAAUCGGAAUUACUGGGCGUAAAGUGUGCGCAGGCGGCAGAGCAAGUCGAGUGUGAAAGCCCCGGGCUUAACUUGGGAAUUGCGCUCGAAACUACUUUGCUGGAGUGUGGCAGAGGAAGGUGGAAUUCCAGGUGUAGCGGUGAAAUGCGUAGAUAUCUGGAGGAACACCGGUGGCGAAGGCGGCAUCCUGGACCGGCAUUGACGCUGAGGAGCGAAAGCCAGGGGAGCAAACGGG